Bombus huntii is the source of this 10705-nucleotide long non-coding RNA. RefSeq lists it as uncharacterized. NCBI's taxonomy places the organism in Eukaryota, Metazoa, Arthropoda, Insecta, Hymenoptera, Apidae. The record is from RefSeq and is a predicted model, not a curated record. The transcript is spliced from 2 exons.
UUAGAACCGUUUCGCGUGAUUAUCUUUUAAUGCACACUGCUUAAGACGAAUACUAGAUUCCUCUGACCUUUUUUCUUUUUUUUCUUUAUUUGAAUCGAGGCAAUCGUUCGAUUGGGAAUCGUAGGGGUUAUGAGUUGAAAUUUUACUCAUUGUAAUGGAUUGGUAAUGAAUGGAGGUAAUUAGCGUUAUCGAGAACGUGAAUCAUAAUACGGAUAUUAGUGUAGAGUGAGUCUUUCAUCGUAAUAUAUUUCUAGAGCGAGUAAUGUAAUAUAGAAGAGAUUUCUUUAUACGGUGAAAUUUUUCGACUAGCCAGGAAUACCAAAAUAAUAUUACAAGAAAUUUUUAUUUAUAUAUUUUUGAAAGUUUAUAUCAUUGGACCCAAGAACUUGUCUUUUCCUUAUCAGCUACGUUACAUUAACUUCUCCAGUGCGUACUAAAUUGUAGGAAAAUUUGUAAAGAGGAAGCACCUCCUUUUCAUAUAAAUAUUUAUAAAAUUACAUAAAGAACUAUUCUUCGAAGAAACGUUCUAGUUUCUUAUAAUUAUCUUUCUUAGAGAAAGUAAUAGUUUUGGUAUGCCGAUGUAUUUUAUAGAAUAUUAACUUCCUCUGCAGAUUCUACUAUGUAGAGAAGAACUUUUGUAAGAAUACGUGCUUUAAAUAUAUCUCACGAUGAAAUUGCUACAUACCCGAGGAUUGCAGCUGAAUUAAAACAACAAAGAGUGUGCCGCGGUUGCUGAAAUGCGCAAUUACUUACGCACUUCCGGCGUCAAAUGUAUGCAGGAAGUGCUGUCGAAGAAUAGCAAAUAUUAAACACGGCGUCUGCCUCGAAGAACGGAGCAGACUGCACGUGCCUAUCCCCUCUCCUUUGCAAGCAAUAAUUGGUUUCUCCUAUCGUAUACAAUUAAGAAUUUGGUCACGUGUAUAAUGAAAGAUUCAUUAUUAAAUUACUCCUGUGGAAGAACCGUUUAGAACGUUCAAAAAUUAUCAGAGUUAUUAAUGAUGGAGAGUUUCUUCUCUUUUUUUUUUUUUUAAUUAUGAAAUAAUUCCAAAACUAUUUUGAAUAAUUGCAUAAUAAUGUUCAAGUAAUUUGCCAGAAAUAUUACGAAUGUUUCAUUAUUAAAUUAUUGCUGCGAAGAAGUUUUCGGAAGCUUGAAAAAUUCUCGAAAUUAUUAACGAUAGAAUUUUUACCUCCUUAUUAUUAAAUCGCGUAAUAAUAUCGCAAACAGUACAAUAUAAUUUUUAUGCUAAUGGUUCAUUUCGAAGUUACAGUAUUACUUCCAUUAUGAGGAUGAAACAUGCUUGUUACGUUAAAUAAGAACACAGGGGGAACUUGGUAAUUUACAGUGAAUUAUAUUUUAAAGUAACGCGAUGUACGUUUUUAAGUGGUUUAUUUCAUCAACGCGGAACAGAAUGCCUUUAAGUAAAUUCAUAUUUUAAAAAUAGCGUUAUAUCAUUUCGAACAAUCUUUUUUGUUUCAUUAACAAUUUAUUUAUAAAGAUUGCGUUUGUUAAUUGCAAUAUAAAACCGAAAUAUAUUUAUUGCGAUAAUUAGGGAUACAUAUUAUGGAAGAGAGAAUGGUAAUUUAUUGUGAAAGACGUGUUAUAAUAACGCGACGUACAUUUUUAUCAAAUAUAUUUCGUCGGCACAAGAGAAUGCCGACGACAGGACGCCUUUAUCGUAUUGGAAUUGCUAGGCCUCGGUUUGAAAACAGGAAACGGAAGCCACGACGUGCUUUCGUGGAGAUAUCGCGAGACGACCGAUCAACUCUUGAAGGGUUUUGUAGGUCACGAUACACUCCGUUGCCGACGAAUCGAUGAGUAAUCCAUUUAUUUUUACAACUGCGAAAACACCAAACUGCCCUCAUUUUUUAUAUUAUAUAUUUCUGUAAACUGUAAAUAUCGCUAAAAACUAUUACAUUCCUACUUCUCCUUUCAUUUCAACGUAUGAAUUAUUCAAAGAUAUUAAUUCGCGUGAAACUUAAUUGGACGAUAUAUCUUUAUCUUCCUAUUCUUUCCUUCUUGAUUAUCGACGUUCAGCUUGCAGAUAUAAAUAUAGAUACAAAGUUUGUUUAAUUGUAAUUAAAGCAUAUUUUUAUUAUGUAUGAACACUGCAGAUCCUAUUUACGACGAGAUCCAUCGACGGUGGAAGUUUCAAACCAUUUUCCAUUUUCAUGCUGCAAAAAUAUUCUUCGGGCUCCCAAUAAGAUAAGAUUACCCAUAUCGUCUCGCGUCAUCUCCGAAAACACCUUCGAAAAUACUUUUAGAGGCCAUUUAAAAAGCAUUUUCGCAAGCACAACGGCAAAUUGUUUCCUAUCUGUUCCAAGAGGCUGAGAGACACGGUCCCUAGUGUCCUGGCGUGUUCUCGAUAAUCGUCUGGCGUUGCACUUUUCUCUUUUUUCCCCUAUGGUGCGCGUAGCUUUAAUCUCUAUUUCGAGGCGUGCAAGCAUCGAGCUUAAAACCAUCGGCGGCGUUAACGCGCGUAUCAGCCUGGUCGAAUUAGGGUGCAGGCUGCGCGCGAGGACUUAUUUCGGGAUCGAGUGGCAGCCACUUCGUACGUAAAUACGGGUCGCCGACAGUGAAACAGUCCUCGAACGGCAUUCGACCCUUCGACUGACGUGUGGCUUCGUCAAGGAAAAAAAGUAAAAAAUAUGAAAGGGCUGGGCGAUUAAAUGGAAUUAAAGCAAUAAAGAAAAAGCCACGGCACAAUAGAAUUUGCUCCGAGCCAGCGGUUUAAACCUUUCCACCUGGUCAAGCUCGAACGACUUUUUUAAUCUUAUUUUUAUCGCCGAAUAUAGAAUUUCUCUUUUUCUCAUUUUUCUAUCUUUUAUUCGUUUUAUAUGCUCGUAUAUUUUUGUAAGUUUUAAUCUGUUCGCGUUGUGUAACUUUUCUAGAUUAUUAUUAUCAUUUCUUUAAAAUAUUUGACAAGUAGUUCGCUAAAUAGAUUCUUUUGGUUGUUAUCUUUUCCUGUGCUAAAGAAUAGGCAAGAUUUUUUGCUUGUUUAAUAUCUUUUAACUUACUAGCUAAUUUCCUUUGUUUGGUUGAAAUAAUUUCCUAGAGAGAUUUAAAACAGUGUCUUUCUGUGCGCUUCAAGUUCGGCUGGUUUUUACAGACUGGCUGUGCAUGUAGGUAAUAAGUUCGCGGGAAAAACCGCUUUGAUGCUGUAACCCGUGUCUCUACUUCGAUCGCGUUCCUUUGACUUUAUGAACUCGCGCUGCACAUACCAAGCGAGUACCGCGUUUUAAAAAGGUCUUGAAAAAUGACUUCUCUCGGUAGUACUCUCGGUAAUGCGUAAUAAAAUCAAAUAUUUUGCCCAUUAGCCGUCACGGCAAUUUAUGAAAUGAAAUAUAAAUUAGAAACUAAACAAUUUUAUUUGUUUUAUCAUCGAAUCUGUUUUUCCUACAAUAUAAGAGAGUCUAUUAAUAUAUCAAUAAGUUGUGGCUCGUAAUGUUUCGCUGAAAGUAACAGUUCAAUCGUAUAAAAAGGUUCGUAUGUCCUAAUAUCUAUAGCGUUUCUAGAACCUAACAGGGCGUUGGCAUCACUUAUGAGGGAAAUUUCAAGUCACAUAUUGUUCAGAAUAUUCAAUCGUUAAAGGCUAUCGUGGCUGAAAGUUCACGCUCAUAUGUAUCUCAUUUUAACAUUAUCACUCGAUAAUGAUAGCAUCGUUAUUCUAUUAUGAUCAUGUUAUGCAAAUAAUAAUGUUUUCAUUUUCCAUGUAACAUCGAACACAAUGCUAAUGAGGACUGUUUUAUCUCCUAUUUAUCUCUAAAAUAAGCCAUAUAUAUCGUACAUUUGUACGAAACUUUCAUUACGAUAGAGUUAUCGACAGCUGAUCUCUUUUGACGAAGUAAACUUCGUUACAUUAGCACUAAUAGAGUACAGUUCAAUCAAGUAGGUCUCCUUACAAAUGAGCAGAUAGGCUAAUCGUAGGUCUAAUCGUAGGAGAUUUGAUGAAUUAUCUGUGAAAUAAGAAACAGACAUAUUUAAGUAAAAUUUCGCUCAUAAUAGAAUUAACGAGAGCUGAUUUCUUUUAACGACAGCUUCUGAACGUUAAACAAUUUUUAAUGAGAAAUCGAUAAGAAAAAAAGGUAAUUAAAAGAGAAAAUACAAAGGAUCGUGAAAAUAGAUCGGUAAUUUCGAAGGUCAGUCGGGGUACCAAAGGACCCCUGGCUGGCAAGAAGGAAAAGGGUGGCUCGCUGUGGUGCACGCCCCGUGUUAUUGAUCGGGCUGGAGCGCACAUCGGAUUCGGAGACUCGUCGUGGUUACCCUGGAGCCUUUGGAGCCACGUCCUUUCCUCUCGUCGGCGACAAUGCCCGGGUACACGUGUCGAUCCUCAUGAAUCUAUUACCGAUUUCUGCUUGAAAUUGAAUGUGUGCAUUGAAAAUCGAACACCAAUGUCAUGCAUCUAGAAUAAUCGUUCACUCAUGAAAGAUAUGGGGAAAAAAUGGGCAACGUCCAUUCCAUCGAUUUUUAUGGUGUAUAGGGAAUUUUUUCGGCAAGAAUUGCGACUAUAGCAUUAUUUACCUUUCUUAUGAUUAGUUAGAGUGGUGAUUUCUCGUUACAAUCCAAUUCGUUGAACCUUGCUCCUGCAAAUAUUGAUUUAGUCUGUUGCUUUAUUAAUUGACCACGGCUAUGCCCCACCGCUCUUAAAAGUUAAGCCUUGUUUUGGAAAUUGACCACAGGCUUGAAUCUUAUCCUCACGAAAAAAUAAUUUACAAACUCGUAAUAUUUUCUUACUUUACUUUCUUUCUAUUCUUCCUUUCCAUAAAAUAUAAAUUAUAGUAAUUGAAAUUGAAAAGGAAGAUCUUCCCUGGUAGGAAAGUUUUACAUGCUUAAUAAUUUAUAAUUUCCACAGUGUCCACAAUUUGCAAAACGUGCAGCUCAUUGUUUUCCAAUCGACGGGAAUUAUACCUAUUAAUCCACUUGUCAUAAUCGUUAACCUAACUCGUAAUAGGAACUUGGAAACACAGUUAGCAAGUCUCAACGGUCUCAGCAUGUAAGGAUAAUUUUGUGGUAAUCGAAUAUCAGUUCUGCUCGUGAAACGGUGUCGUGCUCUGAUUAAUCGUCGACCAUCGCGAUAGAUCCGCUGUGGCUCUUGGACCAGCGUAAUUUCCGCUGUCACUUACAAAUCAUAGCAAAACUUGCAUCAUACUCGAUUAUGAAAUAAUAAAAUUAUUAUAUUAUUUAUCAUUUUAUUCUUCGCGAAUAUCGUACUCCUAUCCUGAAAAAAAUCUUUUAAGGAACGAUGGAACAAUUUGGUUACAGCGAUUCGUUCAUAAAAUAAUGAAACGCGUGUUGUUCAUUGCAGCUAGGAUGAAAAUUCGAAAUACAAAAAUCAAUUUACAUAAUUGUAAAAUUGCAAGCAGGAAACAUAAAUUAAGAUCUCAACGUGUGGUCAGUUAGUGAAACAGACUUAAAGGUCAGACAAAUUUGAGAUAUGACGGUCAGUUAAUAAAGCAAUAGAUUGAGAUUGGCCAGUACCGUACGUGCAUAAUAAGUGCACAUAUAUUGCCAGUAUACGUCAUGUAGAUAAUUCCAUUAUUUUAUUCGCACUGUGUUGGAUCUGUACAUAAUCAUAUGUAUUGUAAGAGUCUUAAACGAGUCUGAAAUACCAUAAUCCUGUUCUCAUCGGGCCUACAUAGUCUAGAAAUAAAUGUUAUAUUUCAACGAUUAUUAAUAUGUAUAAUUUUCAAAUAUUUGGUCUUUUUAACUGCUCCUACUUAAUUUUAUUACCUUUCGCAUAUUCAACGCUUAUAAAGUAUUUCAAAUAAACGAAGAAAUGCAGUUCGCGAGAAGGACAAACAAUACAAUUUUCGAAAGAUUGCAGAAAAUAAGAUUUAAAAUGCCAUUAUUCAAGAACAAACACGACAAAUUAUAAGCAAAUCGAAGGAAGAACGGUAUUAACGGUAUUUAGCAUCACGUAAUACCAGAUUUCUCGGGUCAAAGAACGCUCUUUAUCAGCCGCGUCUCUCCAGAAACAAAAGGAACUGGAGCAUCUCGAUAUUCCCUCGUUUGCAGUAUAUGGCAUGCCAGAGAGAUGAAACAUUUUUAUCUCGUCGUUGCACAUUCCGCAUCACCCAUAGCUUCUAUAUACAUGCAUAUAUAUCUUCCUCUGUUUCUCCUAUAGUAUUGCACGGACGAUCGAUCCGUGUAUUUCGAAGUAAUCAACCGUACUGGUUCACGUCAAAGACAAUCAUUCAGGUAACUGGACCGCCAGUGUGUCGUCAUUAACGAUCAGCCAAGGCUGACCUGCUGCAGGUUGUUAGAUCGCUCCAUUUUCCUCUAGGGCUCUCUAUUUUACGCCGUUUUACCGGCUGUGGUUUUGUUCGUUGGAAAAAACGAAGCGUCCCCCAUUUCUCUGGAACCGUCUCAUUCUUUCUUCCGAAGAAUGGGCUCAGCUCACGUGACCGAUGACUCGUUAGGUUUCGUUUGGUUCCCAUGCAAAUAAGAAAGCGAUGUAUCGUCUGCUGUUGUCUUCCAUCCCUAAAACACCAAUGUCACGUUGUUUUAAAAUUUUUACAUUUGGCUAUGAUUCUAGUACCUGUAACUUGUGGUUGCAUUUAUCCAUAAUUUCAGUGCCUAUAACCCAUUUACGUUUAAAUACAGUUCUGAUACUCGUAACUUUCAUGCAUCCAAUUGUAGUUGCAGAGCCUAUACAAGUAACAUUCUAAUGUCACAAAAGUAAACUCAAUUCCUCUGUUAUGCUUCAGUUGUUAGUACCUAUAACAUUUCUACGUUUAACUAGAAUUCUAGUAUCUGUAAUUCUUCAAAUCGUAUAAAUAAAAUUCUAAUCAUCCAGAGAUGAACUCACCUCCUGUGUUACAUUUUCAUUCCAUCGACGAUAUAGGUCCAUACAAACUCCUCGUAUAACCUCUUCACGAGUUAUUUAUGACGUUAUCAAUGGACCAAUCAGCGUGCGUCAACAAACUUAGGGAAAAUCCCUAGACUUUGCCCGUGUUAUUCUCAUCAUCGAUACAAGAGCAGCAUCGAACACCUUUAAUUGAUCCUGUUGGACUUCGUUCGACGUAACCUCGUUUUGCCAUUCGUCUUUGCGCGCACGGUCGGACAACGACACCGACGAAGAAGAGGGGUCGUAAGUACGAUCCCCGGUGCCGAUGUCCUGACACGAGCCACAGCCUCUAGUCGGCGAACCGUGCGCUGAUUUUGCAGUCGCAGCUGCAGGAAUAAACGGGGACACGAGCUCUUCGCUCCCCUGUUACACUCUUGGAGUCAAAACAUUCGCGAUGCGCAUAGCUGCUUCGCUUUCUGCGCCUUUCUUUCCUUCUUUCUUUUCUCGUUAUUAUGUACAGGCGUGGAACAGUCGUUUUCUUUCACUCUAACUACAAAGAGGAGAACUUUUUUGAGAAGUUGCAGAGAGUGAUUUUUAAUGACGUAGAAAGAAUGUCUAAUGAGUGAUUGCGUAUCGUUUUGAAACUCCCUGUACGCGAGUAUGAGCUACGUUAUAUGUUUGGUGAAAUAUUACGCAGAUUGGGAAAACUGAUGGAUGGCAAUCGUAUUUCAAAAAAUUUCAUUUUCGGCGGCAGGUGUGCCGAUUCCAACCAGCCAAUAUCGCAAUAAAAGUUAGAUAGUCCGGUAAGAGCUAUCCAAACAUCGUUUUAAUAACAGCAGCAUGCUGAAAAUUGAAGCUCCCAAAAUACAAAACAAUCACCGAUAAGGAAAUAUGUAGGAGAGCUCAACAGUUCGUAUGUCCACGCAUGCCAGAUGUAUUCCUUGAAAGGAGGAGAUAAGAUACGUCUAUGCAUCUUCCGUAUGACAGCCACCUGGAAUUCGUUGCACUGCGCUAUUUUUACCGGAGGCCAUUUAUUUUCUCAAGAACUUAGGGCCCACGGCGUAAGUUUAUCUACUGUGUAAACGCGGCCAAAGAUAAUUCCUUUUCGAAUAUAGCCAAUAACGAUGUUCCUAGAAUAAUUUCUGUCGUCUAGGAAAGCAUUCUGUGGAAUAUGUACAAGAAAGAGAAAAAGAAGUUGAAAAAGAAAUUUUGAGAAAGCAAAAAUUUUUAACGAUUCUGACAGUAAAAGAUGUAUACAAAAGAUUACAUAAAUUGGAAUUAAAAUAUUGUAAUAAACACUAUUGCCUUAUUGAUAGAGCUUUCAAACUGAUUUUCAUGAUAUAUAGUAUAAUCUUCACUUUUACAAUUUAAAUAUUUAUUAUAAUCUAAAUAUCGAAUGCAAAGAACUCAAUGAUACGCGUAUAUAGAUUUUUGUGACUGACUGUAUAUAUCCUCUAUUUACGGAGGAACUACAUGUAACUAUAUGUAACUACAUGUAAAGAGCCAAUAAACAUGGCAUAACAACAAGCAUGGCAUCAGCCUCUUAAUUAGAUGUCUUCCAAUAUAAUUCAUACAUCCUAUCAUAAAACUACAGUACCUAAAAAAAGGAAGAAAGGGAAGUAGCAUAAUUCAAGUAAUAAAGGAGAAGAAACUUAUUUCUUCGUUCUGAUGCGUCACAGAACGACGUGACUUUUAUCUUAGCUAAUUUUCGCAAAGAUCAACAUUUACGGAGCAAUCCAAUUACGUAAAUUUCCCGGUGCAUACAGUGGUGCUCGCACAAUAAUCUUUUCCCCUCUUUAUGUUCAUUCCCUGAAGUGGCGCAUGCAUCUUUGAAACGCUCGGUAACACUGCAACCGAAAUCUCGACGCGUCUUCCCUCUCCUGGCAGAAAGAUAAAGUAAAUUGCAAGGAUCCGACGCGACACUCCAAUUUAGAUGGAAUUCUCGAAACGUUGUAAACUCGGCCCUUUCGUUAAGGUGCAUAUACCAGGUACACGUGUGUACAUAUGCAGCGGGGGCCAUACGACCCAAGUGUUCUCGUCGGCGGUUUCAUGGAAAUGGAUCAAGCGUUUCGAUGAAUUUUCACGAGCCGCCAAGGGUUAGUGGAUUAACGCUCUCCCUGCGUUCGCAGUUGCGCAGAGGACGUGUCUGACACGAAACUGGGUUGCACUACUUCGUUCGGGACUGGCUGCAACCGCACGACCAGCUAAGGUGCUGUGUGCAUAAUGCAUCGGUGCACAGGUCGAAUCGAAACCCGUCUAACGAGCAAAGUUUCCCUUGUUAAAAAAUUAUAAAACACUUCCGGUCUUUUGUAUAAUGAAUACAUUACUUUUUUCUUUUGUUAAGUGAGGUUUCACGAAGCUGGCAUUAAUGUCGACGUCGGUAGAAUAUAGUUAACGUGAACGGUAAUCUGGCCCUUUUUAGAUUUUUCGAUUAUAGACUAAUAUUAACUUAGAACGCAAUUUCAUUUUAUAACGAAGAUAAAUAUUAAUAAACCACAGGAAGUAAAUUUAAUAUAAACUUGUAUGUUAAUGUAGAAUUUUACUACCUUUUUGGUUUAGUAGUUAGUUUUUUACCUUCUUGUUUGGUAAUUAGAUUUUUUAAUCUUUAUUUAAAAAAAACAGUAUCGUAUAUUAAAUUUAUAAAUUGCAUUUAAGAAAAAAUUGUAUUAUAGUGGAAAACAGGAUUCUGUUUGAAAAAAUAACGAAUGUAGGCAGAAAUCAAAUACUGGAAGCGUCAAAUAAAGUAGGAUUUCACGAGCACAGUAGGGAACAUUUUACGAGCCACGUAAAGGCGAAGCGUUAAUCUGUGAUCCGUUUGAAAUCGAACUAUUGAUGUACAUACCUUUUAGAACCGUGAUAUGGUCUCCCAAGGGAACCAGCAAAUGAAAGGGGCCGAAUGGAACUCGGUCGUGGAAUGUCCUAUCAAAUGACGUUUGUAAUUAAUCGGGUUACCAGGGUUGUCCAGAGCCCAGCUAUCGCUCUUAAUUCAAACCUUCUAUUGGAUCAUCGGAAUCUGUUUGUCGUGUCCGAUGCGUUCCAAACGGUAAUUAAGGCUAAUGAACUAUAUCGCAGAUUUUUUGCUAUGAAGAAAGGACAUUUAUAAUUAAAGUAAUUGGAAUUCAAGAAAUUUCUGUACUGAGAUUUUUUGUACGUCAAAGCUAGAUAAAAUAAUGGCGACCGAGUUACAGAUUUUUAUGUAAAUUUAUAUUUCUAUAAGCAGAAUUAAUGAAAUAUAAAAAUAUUGUAAUUUGGAUGUUGCGUAUACUUUUGCAAACUAAUUUUUGCCAUAAAUGUCUGACGAAUGUAGAAGUAUAAAAUAUUUGUUAAAUGUAGCAAAUUGUAUUUUUCAAAAUUGCACUGUUUGAUUUUUAUCCGCUGUAUCUUAACUAAAACUAUGACCGCAGUAUUGAUCUUUAAAUAACCUUGCAACGUUAAAAUUUACAUCUUUUCGCCAUUGUGACAAGUUCUUGUUUGUACAUCGACUGUUACAUACAGUACGUAUGCAUCCUUCGUGGAUAUGACAUGUACAUUUUAAGCUCAGAUAGAUAGUCUUAUUGACAAGUCGACCAAAGUUCUUCCACACCGGAAAUAGAGUUGUCUACGUACGUCUUCCUUCCCCUACCUCAUCACGCACCACCCCAAACUAUUCCAACUGUCGUAAUAACAUUGUAAAACUAAAGAUAGCAUUGCUGUUUCUCCCAGACUCUGUAAAAAUCCAACCAAUUUUACACUGUUUUAUACAAAUAACAUGUUGAAAAUGACAACGUGAGUUCGCGCUCGCCAUCCAUAUGCAGACGCGCUAGUUACAAUAAAUAGUAACUAGAAGAUAGUUCUAGAUAUAAUCGAUAGGUUUAAGAUGUUCUUUUGUUUUUAUCCCUAGACCAUGUAAGAAAGUGCAAUAAAGGUUUUUCAGCUCAGAA